UACGAAGGGGGCUAGCGUUGCUCGGAAUCACUGGGCGUAAAGCGCACGUGGGCGGAUUGUUAAGUCAGGGGUGAAAUCCUGGAGCUCAACUCCAGAACUGCCUUUGAUACUGGCGAUCUUGAGUCCGGGAGAGGUGAGUGGAACUGCGAGUGUAGAGGUGAAAUUCGUAGAUAUUCGCAAGAACACCAGUGGCGAAGGCGGCUCACUGGCCCGGUACUGACGCUGAGGUGCGAAAGCGUGGGGAGCAAACAGG
RNAcentral lists this ribosomal RNA (253 nucleotides) under uncultured bacterium. RNAcentral describes it as "partial 16S ribosomal RNA". It matches the Rfam family "Bacterial small subunit ribosomal RNA", at positions 524 to 776 of the family's 1533-position model. The record is from RNAcentral.